GAGAUUCGUGGCGCAAGCCACAACCACACACACACCGUGAACCGUGGGCUUCGGCCCCCAUUACAAACUCUUGCUGUAUAAGAACGUGAAACAUAUGUAACAAUGAAA
RNAcentral lists this unclassified non-coding RNA (108 nucleotides) under soil metagenome. RNAcentral's name for it is "partial internal transcribed spacer 1". The record is from RNAcentral.